Molecule: ribosomal RNA, 252 nt
Filed under: uncultured bacterium
Lineage: Bacteria
Description: partial 16S ribosomal RNA
Rfam family: Bacterial small subunit ribosomal RNA
Source: RNAcentral
UACGUAGGUCCCGAGCGUUGUCCGGAUUUAUUGGGCGUAAAGCGAGCGCAGGUGGUUUAUUAAGUCUGGUGUAAAAGGCAGUGGCUCAACCAUUGUAUGCAUUGGAAACUGGUAGACUUGAGUGCAGGAGAGGAAAGUGGAAUUCCAUGUGUAGCGGUGAAAUGCGUAGAUAUAUGGAGGAACACCGGUGGCGAAAGCGGCUCUCUGGCCUGUAACUGACACUGAGGCUCGAAAGCGUGAGGAGCAAACAGG